GAUGAACGCUGGCGGCGUGCCUAAUACAUGCAAGUCGAGCGAACAGACGAGGAGCUUGCUCCUCUGACGUUAGCGGCGGACGGGUGAGUAACACGUGGAUAACCUACCUAUAAGACUGGGAUAACUUCGGGAAACCGGAGCUAAUACCGGAUAAUAUAUUGAACCGCAUGGUUCAAUAGUGAAAGACGGUUUUGCUGUCACUUAUAGAUGGAUCCGCGCCGCAUUAGCUAGUUGGUAAGGUAACGGCCUACCAAGGCGACGAUGCGUAGCCGACCUGAGAGGGGGAUCGGCCACACUGGAACUGAGACGCGGUCCAGACUCCUACGGGAGGCAGCAGUAGGGAAUCUUCCGCAAUGGGCGAAAGCCUGACGGAGCAACGCCGCGUGAGUGAUGAAGGUCUUCGGAUCGUAAAACUCUGUUAUUAGGGAAGAACAAAUGUGUAAGUAACUAUGCACGUCUUGACGGUACCUAAUCAGAAAGCCACGGCUAACUACGUG
Molecule: ribosomal RNA, 497 nt
Filed under: uncultured bacterium
Lineage: Bacteria
Description: partial 16S ribosomal RNA
Rfam family: Bacterial small subunit ribosomal RNA
Source: RNAcentral